UCAUAAUGGCCGAAAAUCUAAGGUUUCAUGGGGAAGGUUCGUCCGCCCAAGGUAAGCCGGGAGCUAAGGCGAGGCCGAAAGGCGUAGUCGAUGCACAUACGGUUGAAAUUCCGUAGCCGCCGAAAUUGUUAAGCACAGGGACACAUAGAGAUAUCCGAACCCGGGCGUUGGUUGACCCGGGCGCAAGGGACCGAACAUCAGUAGGGAAGUCGGAGAUGCUCUGUGGCGAGAAAAGCUGUGUGAACUGAUUAGGCGCCCGUACCGCAAACCGACACAGGUAGAUGAGGAGAGAAUCCUAAGGCCAACGGGAGAAGGGUUGUUAAGGAACUCGGCAAAUUGACCCCGUAACUUCGGGAUAAGGGGAGCCUCCUACGGGAGGCCGCAGUGAAUAGGCCCAAGCAACUGUUUACCAAAAACACAGGUCUCUGCUAAAUCGAAAGAUGACGUAUAGGGGCUGACGCCUGCCCGGUGCCGGAAGGUUAAGAGGAGAGCUUAGCGCAAGCGAAGGUUCGAAUUGAAGCCCCGGUAAACGGCGGCCGUAACUAUAACGGUCCUAAGGUAGCGAAAUUCCUUGUCAGGUAAGUUCUGACCCGCACGAAUGGCGUAAUGAUUUGGGCACUGUCUCAACAGCCCGCCCGGCGAAAUUGUAGUACUGGUGAAGAUGCCAGUUACCCGCAACUAGACGGAAAGACCCCAUGGAGCUUUACUGUAGCCUAAUACUGAAGAUCGGUAAUGCAUGUACAGGAUAGGUGGGAGCCAGCGGAACCCGGGCGUCAGCUCGGAUGGAGGCAACCUUGGAAUACCACCCUUGUAUUGCUGGUUUUCUAACCUGCGGCCAUGAAUCUGGUCGGGGGACACUGUUAGGUGGGCAGUUUGACUGGGGCGGUCGCCUCCAAAAGCGUAACGGAGGCGCUCAAAGGUUGGCUCAGCACGGACGGAAAUCGUGCAUAGAGUGCAAACGCAUAAGCCAACUUGACUGCGAGACCGACGGGUCGAGCAGGUACGAAAGUAGGAGUUAGUGAUCCGGUGGUAUGUGAGUGGAAAUGCCAUCGCUCAACGGAUAAAAGCUACCCUGGGGAUAACAGGCUGAUCUCCCCCAAGCGUCCACAGCGACGGGGAGGUUUGGCACCUCGAUGUCGGCUCGUCACAUCCUGGGGCUGUAUUCGGUCCCAAGGGUUCGGCUGUUCGCCGAUUAAAGUGGCACGCGAGCUGGGUUCAGAACGUCGUGAGACAGUUCGGUCCCUAUCUGUUGCGGGCGCAGGAGAUUUGAAGGGAGCUGUCCUUAGUACGAGAGGACCGGGAUGGACAGACCUCUGGUGCACCAGUUGUCGUGCCAACGGCACAGCUGGGUAGCUACGUCUGGACGAGAUAAACGCUGAAAGCAUCUAAGUGUGAAACUCCCCCUAAGAUAAGAUCUCCCAUCCAUUAGGAGUAAGGGACGACAAAGACUAUGUCGUUGACAGGUCGGAAGUGUAAGUGCAGUAAUGCAUUGAGCUGACCGGUACUAAUAACCCGAGGGCUUGACC
Molecule: ribosomal RNA, 1526 nt
Filed under: metagenome
Description: bacterial LSU rRNA
Rfam family: Bacterial large subunit ribosomal RNA
Source: RNAcentral